Long non-coding RNA from Trichoplusia ni (cabbage looper), 808 nucleotides. RefSeq lists it as uncharacterized. Lineage: Eukaryota; Metazoa; Arthropoda; Insecta; Lepidoptera; Noctuidae. The record is from RefSeq and is a predicted model, not a curated record. The transcript is spliced from 2 exons.
CGGUUAUACAAACUUAUAAUUAUGUACAUACACAAAGACGAACAGACCAAAAUUUUAAUGGUAUUGUUUUUUAGUUAUUUAUCCUGUUAGUUAUCUUUAACGCUUUAGCUAAUGUUAGGUAUAAAUAAUGGUUUCUGUUCAUUUGAUCCCAUAUUAAUUGUGACUACGAGUCAGUACGUUCUGAACAUGAAGCUUCUGAGUUUGUUAGUCCUCGUAGCUGUCAUAGUGGCGAUGUGUUCAGCAGCCAGCAUAGCCUUGGAAGAUGCUGAGGAGUACCAUUCUCGAGUGAGGAGACAACCAAUAGGAAACCAUCCUUGUCCUUCAGGCAUGGCAUAUUUUUUAGGAAAAUGUGUGUCUUGUGAAACAUACGAGGAGUUAACUGAUGAAAUAUGUCCAGAAUAAGACUAAUUGAGUUUUUUACAUUUAUAAAUAACUAGCUGACCCAGCAAACGUUGCUUUGUUUACAUUUUUUUUCUAGUUGUAUGUAUUUUUUAAUGCCACAUUAUAAAAAAAUAAAAACAAAGAAAAUGUCUAAAAAAUAAAAUAUUUUUUUUAGUGUGUGCAGCCCUUGUCACUUAGGGGUAUGAAAAAUGUAUGUUGUUCUAUUCUCAGACCUAUCCAAUAUGUAUAAAAAAAUUCAUAAGAAUCGGUCGAACUGUUUCGGAGGAGUACGGUAACUAACAUCGAGACACUGGAUUUUUUUAUAUUAGAAGAUUUAUGUGUAACUUUUACAAUAUUCGCUUUAGUUGCAACAUGAUAAUUCCUCUUGUCAUAGGCGAAGGAUAGAAAAAUAAAAUGUCUGAUUUCA